This 77-nucleotide ribosomal RNA is filed under the name Acinetobacter baumannii. RNAcentral's name for it is "partial 23S ribosomal RNA". The record is from RNAcentral. Lineage: Bacteria; Pseudomonadati; Pseudomonadota; Gammaproteobacteria; Moraxellales; Moraxellaceae. RNAcentral also lists the same sequence under 1 other name.
GUGGAAGCAUAGUGAUAUGUGAAGCUGACCAAUACUAAUUGCUCGUGAGGCUUGACUAUACAACACCCAAGCAGUUG